GGCACUCCAUAAACUUCCUCGCUACCAGCGCCAUCUUCCAGCUGAAGGAAAACGCAUCGUUUUUCUCUCCAUUCUCUGUGUGGCUAAAUUAAAUUUUCAAGCUGUCGCAGCAAAAGCGCUCAUUGCAGUGGUCAAUUGGUCUGUCUUUGCGCUCUUUACUCAGUACUGGGUUGUGACCACAAAAGACUAGAGAGAAAUUGAAGACGAUAAUGAAGAAGCUGAGAUGGGCAAUGGACGGAGGCUUUUGGGAGCUGGACAUGUCCACACCCAUAACUCUGGAAGGAGAAGCUCGGGCGGUGCCUGGAGACCCGCUUCCACUCGGACUUUCGAGAGGCACAAAAUUGUCCAGGCCCAAGCAGAUCCAUUUCUUCCAACGUUUCAUGUCCUCACCCUUUAUCCCUUCCUAUUCCCCUCCCACGCCUCCACAUGGAGGACAUGGUUUCUCUCUCCAAAGCGUCCUCGCUAUUCCCACUUUCAAUCAAAAUUGGUUUGGCACGUUGCUUGGUCAAUUCAAUUUGCAAAAGUUUUUGUCCUCUAUUAAUGAGAGUGGUGCUUGGCACUCCUCAAACUCCUCCCGCCUCCAUACCAUUUGUAGACAUCUUCAUGAUAAAUCCCUAUACGCACUUGGUUUCUGUUCAGAGCUCUUAUUAACCCCUGAUGAUACGCUUCUCUUCAGCCUUGAAACUUACGGUCAUAAUAGGACAACCCGUAAGAAGGCAACCCUUCAUCACAAGGCAGGUGUUUUUUUACUUUUUUUUUUAUACUGGCACUCUUUUUUUUCUUGAAAAAUAUUAUUAUUGCUGUUCUUGUUUUUCCUAUGCCUGUAGUUCCCAAAUCACAAUUUAACGCUGGAGGCAGUUUCUCCUGGACUUUUUGUUGACAAGACUGGUAGCUAUUGGGAUGUACCUUUCUCCAUGGCCUUUGACCUCGCUUCUGUUGCUUCUGACUCUGGUGCCAGUUACCAUUUGUGUAUGCAUCAUAAUGCGGGAUCUCCAAAGCUGUUUGAAGGUGGUCAUGCCUUGGGAGUUCCUGCAGCACUGCUUCCUGGUUUCUCUGUGAAAAGUGCUUUUUCCUUUAAGAAAAAUAUAGAUAUUUGGAGAAGCAAAGCUCAGAAGUUGAAGAUGGUGCAACCAUUUGAUCUGUUUCUUUCAAAUCCCCACAUUUCUGCAUCAGGGAUCAUUGGUAAUGAUGCAAGCUCUUAACUUUGGAAAGAAUUUCUGUAUACUAGUUGUGGUCCACUCCAGAUGAGGGAGGAGGGCAUGAGGUUGUUGCUAUGAAAUUUAGAUGUUUGCUCAUUCAUUUAGUUCAAAAUUAUCAAAUUGUCUUCAAUGUUCAAUCUACCUUGCAAGUGACCCUCUGGUGGAGCACAAUAAAAUUUGAAACCCCAAAUAGCCUCAUUAGAAAUGUGAAAACUUUGGUGCUUUUGGGAACAUAUACAUGUACAGGUUCUGCACAUGUCUAUUAAUGAAGUCAAAUGUAGCUUCAAGCCUUGGACAUGCUACAAAAGUUGUAGCUGCUAUCCCCUGAUAGUUAUUUUGUUAUCUCAACAUUCUGAAGGUUAUUUAACUCCUAAUUCAUUCGAAAUAUUUAUCUUCAACCCUUGCUAAUACUUGAGCACAUGCAGGUGCUGCUAUGACAACCUGUCUUGGAGAUAACUCGGUUAGAUCGCAAGUGGAUGAUUUUCAGGGUUUUAAAGGCUUAUGUCUUUAUACACCUGCAGUAAGAUCUGGCUUGUUGGCUGAUAUAUUUUCAUCUGUUUCAGUGACGGCUCAGCAUGGAAACUUCCAAAGACUAUUUCUAGAUCUUACUCGAUUUCAUUUUCAUUUGGAUUUUCCUUCUGGGUCCAAGUUUGUUUCGGGUGCUGCUAAAUUAGCGCAAGAUUUUUUCAAUUCUAGACAGCCAUCCGUGGAAGCAGUGAGAGCAAUUUGCCCCAAUGCAACCAUUUCUCUUCAACA
RNAcentral lists this unclassified non-coding RNA (1955 nucleotides) under Hevea brasiliensis (rubber tree). Lineage: Eukaryota; Viridiplantae; Streptophyta; Magnoliopsida; Malpighiales; Euphorbiaceae. The record is from RNAcentral.